GAAAUGCGAUAAGUAAAGUGAAUUGCAGAAUUCAGUGAAUCAUCGAAUCUUUGAACGCACAUUGCGCCCGCCAGCACUCUGGCGGGCAUGCCUGUUCGAGCGUCAUUUCAACCCUCAGAACCCCUUGCGGGAUCUGGCGUUGGGGAUUGGCAUCCAGCCAGCCCCGAAAUCUAGUGGCGGUCCCUCCGCGACCUCCCCUGUGCAGUAGCGAUACCUCGCAGCGGGACAGCGGUCUGACCACGCCGUAAAACCCCCAACUUCUCAAGGUUGACCUCGAAUCAGGUAGGAAUACCCGCUGAACUUAAGC
This 307-nucleotide unclassified non-coding RNA is filed under the name plant metagenome. RNAcentral's name for it is "partial contains 5.8S ribosomal RNA, internal transcribed spacer 2, and large subunit ribosomal RNA". The stretch from base 1 to 105 matches the Rfam family "5.8S ribosomal RNA", at positions 50 to 154 of the family's 154-position model. The record is from RNAcentral.